UGUGAACGUUACCAAACUGUUGCCUCGGCGGGGUCACGCCCCGGGUGCGUCGCAGCCCCGGAACCAGGCGCCCGCCGGAGGAACCAACCAAACUCUUUCUGUAGUCCCCUCGCGGACGUAUUUCUUACAGCUCUGAGCAAAAAUUCAAAAUGAAUCAAAACUUUCAACAACGGAUCUCUUGGUUCUGGCAUCGAUGAAGAACGCAGCGAAAUGCGAUAAGUAAUGUGAAUUGCAGAAUUCAGUGAAUCAUCGAAUCUUUGAACGCACAUUGCGCCCGCCAGUAUUCUGGCGGGCAUGCCUGUCCGAGCGUCAUUUCAACCCUCGAACCCCUCCGGGGGAUCGGCGUUGGGGAUCGGGACCCCUCACACGGGUGCCGGCCCCGAAAUACAGUGGCGGUCUCGCCGCAGCCUCUCCUGCGCAGUAGUUUGCACAACUCGCACCGGGAGCGCGGCGCGUCCACGUCCGUAAAACACCCAACUUUCUGAAAUGUUGACCUCGGAUCAGGUAGGAAUACCCGCUGAACUUAAGCAUAUCAAUAAGCGGAGGA
This 547-nucleotide ribosomal RNA is filed under the name Trichoderma viride. RNAcentral describes it as "eukaryotic LSU rRNA". The stretch from base 159 to 312 matches the Rfam family "5.8S ribosomal RNA". The record is from RNAcentral. RNAcentral also lists the same sequence under 1 other name. Lineage: Eukaryota; Fungi; Ascomycota; Sordariomycetes; Hypocreales; Hypocreaceae.